This 486-nucleotide ribosomal RNA is filed under the name uncultured bacterium. RNAcentral describes it as "partial 16S ribosomal RNA". It matches the Rfam family "Bacterial small subunit ribosomal RNA", at positions 28 to 507 of the family's 1533-position model. The record is from RNAcentral.
GAUGAACGCUGGCGGCGUGCUUAACACAUGCAAGUCGAACGAUGAAGCUCAGCUUGCUGGGUGGAUUAGUGGCGAACGGGUGAGUAACACGUGAGUAACCUGCCCUUAACUCUGGGAUAAGCCUGGGAAACUAGGUCUAAUACCGGAUAGGAGCGCCUACCGCAUGGUGGGUGUUGGAAAGAUUUAUCGUUUUUGGAUGGACUCGCGCCCUAUCAGCUUGUAGGUGAGGGAAUGGCUCACCAAGGGAACGACGGGUAGCCGACCUGAGAGGGUGAUCGGCCACACCGGAACUGAGACACGGUCCAGACUCCUAAGGGAGGCAGCCGUAGGAGAUCGUCCGCAAGGGGCGAAGGCCUGACGGAGGAACGCCGCGUGAGUGAUGAAGGUCUUCGGAUCGUAAAAAACUGUUAUUAGGGAUGAACAAAUGUGUAAGGAAAUAUGCACGUCUUGACGGUACCUAAGCAGAAAGCCACGGCUCACUACGUG